UGGCACCUCAGAGUAGGACGGUCAUUACACGGCAUAAGCCCCCAAUGGAUCACAGGGGCGGGGAAGUGUGAAGGUUGCAAGGAGAUAGAUGGCACACCAAGGCAGGGCAGGGCGCCCCCUGGAGGUGCCUUUCUUAAGGUGUUGGUCCGGACAGGCAGCAUUUUGGAAGCGAGAAGCAGGCAAAGGAUGCCAUGGCAGGCAAGGCCAUCUCCUGACUGGGGGGGAGGAAAGGGGGGGCCCUUCUGAGCCCAGGAUCUCCAUAGGGAGUUGCCUGAGGGGGACACUGGCCGUGGCCCCGGAACAGAGGGCAGUGGGGGAGUGCCGGAGGAACGGGAGGCCCCUGCUGGCAUCCUCUCCGGCUAGUGGCCCUCGCGCCCACUGCCAGGGGAAAAGACAAGGCACCGAACCUCCUACCUCCCAUUUGCUUCCAUGAAGCAUCCCGUUUGUUGUCACUUUGCCCAUGAAUCAGCUGCGCAAACUGAAGGUGGCAGGAAGUUUAUAGGACGUGGCGCACCGUCCACAGUGGCAGGCCAUCUGCUGCCUUUGCAGGGGGUGUGGACAGAAGUAGGUGUGUGCGCCCAGGGCCUCUGACAUUCCCAGUGGCCAGGCAGAAGGCAAAUCAAGGGCCAGGUAUUCUGCUCCUGGGAGGUCAGGGUGUGCCCCCUGGUCUCAGUGCCAAUGUGGAGCCCUUGACGAAGCCAGUGCUGGAAGACACGUGGGGAGGGGGGAGGGGGAGGGAUUCCCUCCCCCCUCUGCUCCCUCAACUGCUUCAGCCAGUCUUGGGCUUCGGUCUGCAGGCCCUUGAGACAAGAGGCGGGAAGGAGGUGGGAAAGGAUCGGGACGAGCUCAGGGGGCCAGGGCUGACGCGCAGGGGGUUAUGGCCCCCAUGACAUCCCCGAGGAUGGAAGGAAGAGCUCCGUGAGAAAGAGAAAACUGUGUUGCCUGGGAAAAGCAUGCGAGUGACACAAAAGCUGAGCUCCAAACAGCAUCGCCAGUUGCCCUACAGACUCCCAGGAGCUGGAAAGAGUAUUUUCCCUUACGAGCCGCCCAGAAGAGACCCUCUUCUUCCUUGCUUUUCUCUGCUGGUGGAGCAGCAAACGCCCUCAGCAGAGUCUCACGGGCACUCACUCUCUUUCGCAGGUCCUCUUCCUGAAGCAGCAGAGCAAAGAGAAGGACACUGAUGUGGACAACUGCAGGAGGUCCAAAGAGAAACUUCUGUCAGAAAUCGGCUCCCUCUUGACAGAAAUUGCCUUUCUGAAGGAGGUACGAGAGCAGCUGAGGUACAAGGACCCAGAAUCCAGGAAGGAAACCACCAAGGCCCUUACGGAAACCAUCCAAGCCAAGCUGGAGGUGGCUCACGCGAAGAUCGAGGCGGCGGAGGCCAAGAAGGAGACCUUGGAGGCCCAGAGGAGGGCCGAGGAGGCCAAGGAGUCGGCGGAAGCCGCUCAAGCCCGGGAGGACAGCCUCUUGUCCUACGUCUCCAAAAUCGCCACCCUGGCCUACCAGCAGGCUGCCGAGGCCGAGUAUGACUGCGCCCAGGCCCGGAAGGCGAUGGCCGCGGCAGAGGCCAUCAACGUGGCUGCCUUCAGCGAUGCCCGAGGGCACCGCGGCCACAAGCUCCAGCACGAGAAGCACCACCGGAGCUCCCGGAGCAGCCACAGCGACUGCCGGUGUCACCACCACCACGGCCACCACCACGGCCACCACCACGAGCACCGCAGCCACUACGAGACCCAGAGCAACCAGGCCCACUCCGACCUGGAGACCCUGAGCAGCACCCGAUGAGGGCGGGAGGG
Molecule: long non-coding RNA, 1796 nt
Organism: Salvator merianae (Argentine black and white tegu)
Lineage: Eukaryota; Metazoa; Chordata; Lepidosauria; Squamata; Teiidae
Source: Ensembl